Long non-coding RNA from Humulus lupulus (European hop), 384 nucleotides. RefSeq lists it as uncharacterized. Lineage: Eukaryota; Viridiplantae; Streptophyta; Magnoliopsida; Rosales; Cannabaceae. The record is from RefSeq and is a predicted model, not a curated record. The transcript is spliced from 2 exons.
UGAGCCUCUUUGCAGCAACAUGACAACUCUCUAGAGUUACCGCUCCAAACGUGAUCCGGAUGCAUCCAGACACGCCACAAGCGCUUCCAGGGAGAACCACCACACUAUGUCUAUGAGCGAGCCAGCAAACAACUUCAAAAUCGUCGUUCAAGUACUUUUCAGGGAGCCUGGCCCAUAGCUUCUAAGCAGUAGAGUGCUAGAUACUGCGAUAUUAUCGGAGCACAGAUGGCUACAUUGUCCUGAACCUUGAGAAGCUGAGUUCUUAGAGCCUUUGCCUCAGACGGGUAAGCUAUCUGAAAAGAAUCAAGUAAAAUUUAUAUGAUAUUUACAAGAUAAGUAAAAAUAAAAUGGACUAAUAAUAGAAUAAAAAACCAAUUGUGUACA